Molecule: ribosomal RNA, 686 nt
Filed under: Escherichia coli
Lineage: Bacteria; Pseudomonadati; Pseudomonadota; Gammaproteobacteria; Enterobacterales; Enterobacteriaceae
Description: partial 23S ribosomal RNA
Rfam family: Bacterial large subunit ribosomal RNA
Source: RNAcentral
GGGUUGUGAGGUUAAGCGACUAAGCGUACACGGUGGAUGCCCUGGCAGUCAGAGGCGAUGAAGGACGUGCUAAUCUGCGAUAAGCGUCGGUAAGGUGAUAUGAACCGUUAUAACCGGCGAUUUCCGAAUGGGGAAACCCAGUGUGAUUCGUCACACUAUCAUUAACUGAAUCCAUAGGUUAAUGAGGCGAACCGGGGGAACUGAAACAUCUAAGUACCCCGAGGAAAAGAAAUCAACCGAGAUUCCCCCAGUAGCGGCGAGCGAACGGGGAGCAGCCCAGAGCCUGAAUCAGUGUGUGUGUUAGUGGAAGCGUCUGGAAAGGCGCGCGAUACAGGGUGACAGCCCCGUACACAAAAAUGCACAUGCUGUGAGCUCGAUGAGUAGGGCGGGACACGUGGUAUCCUGUCUGAAUAUGGGGGGACCAUCCUCCAAGGCUAAAUACUCCUGACUGACCGAUAGUGAACCAGUACCGUGAGGGAAAGGCGAAAAGAACCCCGGCGAGGGGAGUGAAAAAGAACCUGAAACCGUGUACGUACAAGCAGUGGGAGCACGCUUAGGCGUGUGACUGCGUACCUUUUGUAUAAUGGGUCAGCGACUUAUAUUCUGUAGCAAGGUUAACCGAAUAGGGGAGCCGAAGGGAAACCGAGUCUUAACUGGGCGUUAAGUUGCAGGGUAUAGACCCGAAA